UACGUAGGCAGCGAGCGUUGUUCGGCGUUACUGGGCGUAAAGAGUGCGUAGGCGGUUUUCUAAGUUUGGUGUGAAAUCUCCCGGCUUAACUGGGAGGGUGCGCCGAAAACUGGAAGGCUUGAGUAUGGGAGAGGUAAGCGGAAUUCCUGGUGUAGCGGUGAAAUGCGUAGAUAUCAGGAGGAACACCUGCGGUGUAGACGGCUUACUGGACCAUAACUGACGCUGAGGCACGAAAGCGUGGGUAGCAAACAGG
Molecule: ribosomal RNA, 253 nt
Filed under: uncultured bacterium
Lineage: Bacteria
Description: partial 16S ribosomal RNA
Rfam family: Bacterial small subunit ribosomal RNA
Source: RNAcentral